RNAcentral lists this ribosomal RNA (253 nucleotides) under uncultured bacterium. Its description in RNAcentral is "partial 16S ribosomal RNA". It matches the Rfam family "Bacterial small subunit ribosomal RNA", at positions 524 to 776 of the family's 1533-position model. The record is from RNAcentral. RNAcentral also lists the same sequence under 1 other name.
UACGGAGGGAGCUAGCGUUGUUCGGAAUUACUGGGCGUAAAGCGCACGUAGGCGGCUCAGCAAGUCAGGGGUGAAAUCCCGGGGCUCAACCCCGGAACUGCCCUUGAAACUGCUAGGCUAGAAUCUUGGAGAGGCGAGUGGAAUUCCGAGUGUAGAGGUGAAAUUCGUAGAUAUUCGGAAGAACACCAGUGGCGAAGGCGACUCGCUGGACAAGUAUUGACGCUGAGGUGCGAAAGCGUGGGGAGCAAACAGG